Long non-coding RNA from Dermacentor andersoni, 255 nucleotides. RefSeq lists it as uncharacterized. The record is from RefSeq and is a predicted model, not a curated record. Lineage: Eukaryota; Metazoa; Arthropoda; Arachnida; Ixodida; Ixodidae.
CUACGAAGGCACUCUGGCUACUAAUGAGCGUCGUGCUUGCUUCAUGUCAGUACGCCGACGACAGCAGAGAGAAGCAAAAGGAAGCAAUGCGCCAGCUGUGCCAGGGAGGACGCCGGGACCGCUGUGCCUCGUACUGCAUCAACGAGAACCACUUCACCGGUGUAUGCACGCUGCCGGCCAAGACUAGCAUGUGCAUCUGCUUCGACGCCCUCUGAUGGCGUCCGCAUCAUGACCGCCCAAUGUGUGCCUCUCAAG